This 251-nucleotide ribosomal RNA is filed under the name uncultured bacterium. RNAcentral describes it as "partial 16S ribosomal RNA". It matches the Rfam family "Bacterial small subunit ribosomal RNA", at positions 525 to 775 of the family's 1533-position model. The record is from RNAcentral.
ACGUAGGGGGCAAGCGUUAUCCGGAUUUACUGGGUGUAAAGGGAGCGUAGACGGCAAGGCAAGUCUGAAGUGAAAGCCCGGUGCUUAACGCCGGGACUGCUUUGGAAACUGUUUAGCUGGAGUGCCGGAGAGGUAAGCGGAAUUCCUAGUGUAGCGGUGAAAUGCGUAGAUAUUAGGAAGAACACCAGUGGCGAAGGCGGCUUACUGGACGGUAACUGACGUUGAGGCUCGAAAGCGUGGGGAGCAAACAG